AGGGCGUUUGGUGAAUGCCUUGGCAGCAAGAGGCGAUGAAGGACGUGAUACUCUGCGAUAAGUCAUGGGGAGCUGAGAAUAAGCUUUGAUCCAUGAAUUUCCGAAUGGGGCAACCCACCUGACAGUUGAUUAUAAUUGCCUUAGGGCGAUUUAUAAUUGGCUGAAACAGGUACUUCCUACCUGAAUACAUAGGGUUUGAAGAGCGAACCCGGGGAACUGAAACAUCUAAGUACCCGGAGGAAAGGACAUCAAUUGAUACUCCCCUAGUAGCGGCGAGCGAACGGGGACCAGCCGAGCCUUGAGAGUGAGAAGAAUGACCUGGGAAGGUCAGCCAUAGCGGGUGAUAGCCCCGUAUUUGAAGCUCGAUAGGACGUAUUAAGUAGGGCGGGACACGUGAAAUCCUGUCUGAAGAUCGGAGGACCACCUUCGAAGGCUAAGUACUCCUUGCUGACCGAUAGUGAACCAGUACCGUGAGGGAAAGGUGAAAAGCACCCCGACGAGGGGAGUGAAACAGACCUGAAACCGAACGCCUACAAUCAGUCGGAGCUUCCUUGUGAAGUGACGGCGUACCUUUUGUAUAAUGGGUCAUCGACUUGGUCUCACGUGCAAGCUUAAGCCGUUAGGUGUAGGCGCAGCGAAAGCGAGUCUUAAUAGGGCGUCGAGUUCGUGGGAUCAGACCCGAAACCGAGUGAUCUAGGCAUGUCCAGGAUGAAGGUACGGUAACACGUACUGGAGGUCCGAACCCACACCUGUUGAAAAAGGUCGGGAUGAGGUGUGCCUAGGGGUGAAAGGCCAAUCAAACUCGGAGAUAGCUGGUUCUCUGCGAAAUCUAUUUAGGUAGAGCGUCGUGUCUUACCCCGGGGGGUAGAGCACUGGAUGGGUAAUGGGGCCCCACAGGCUUACUGAUCCUAACCAAACUCCGAAUACCCGGGAGUACAAUCACGGCAGACACACAGCGGGUGCUAACGCCCGUUGUGGAGAGGGAAACAACCCUGACCUCCAGCUAAGGCCCCUAAUUCAUGGCUAAGUGGGAAAGCAGGUGGGACGACCAAAACAACCAGGAGGUUGGCUUAGAAGCAGCCAUCCUUUAAAGAUAGCGUAACAGCUCACUGGUCUAAUCAAGUUGUCCUGCGGCGAAGAUGUAACGGGGCUCAAGCCAUGAGCCGAAGCUGAGGACGCGUAAGCGUGGUAGCAGAGCGUAGUGUGAUAAAACCUAUUCCUCUUUAGGGUCUUCGGAUCCUGCGGAGGAUCGGGUUUGGCAAUGAAGCCGGGGCGUGAGCCACCGGUGGAGCGAUCACUAGCGAGAAUGAUGACAUGAGUAGCGACAAAGAGUGUGAGAGACACUCUCGCCGAAAGUCCAAGGGUUCCUGCUUAAAGCUAAUCUGAGCAGGGUAAGCCGGCCCCUAAGCCGAGGCCGAAAGGCGUAGGCGAUGGGAACCAGUUUAAUAUUACUGGGCCAGGAGAUGGUGACGGAUCGUCAGAGCUGCAUGUCCUUAUCGGAUUGGACAUGCUUGGCAGCGGUCCCAGGAAAUAGCCCUCCAUCCGACCGUACCCUAAACCGACACAGGUGGACUGGUAGAGAAUACCAAGGCGCUUGAGAGAACGAUGUUGAAGGAACUCGGCAAAAUACCUCCGUAAGUUCGCGAGAAGGAGGCCCGGGCCAUGAGGUCCGGGGGCACAAACCAGGGGGUGGCGACUGUUUAUUAAAAACACAGGGCUCUGCGAAGUCGCAAGACGACGUAUAGGGUCUGACGCCUGCCCGGUGCCUGAAGGUUAAAAGGAGGGGUGAGAGCUCUGAAUUGAAGCCCAGGUAAACGGCGGCCGUAACUAUAACGGUCCUAAGGUAGCGAAAUUCCUUGUCGGGUAAGUUCCGACCUGCACGAAUGGCGUAACGACUUCCCCGCUGUCUCCAACAUCGACUCAGCGAAAUUGAAUUGCCUGUCAAGAUGCAGGCUUCCCGCGGUUAGACGGAAAGACCCCGUGCACCUUUACUACAGCUUCAGACUGGCAUCAGGACUGCGAUGUGCAGGAUAGGUGGUAGGCUUUGAAACAGACACGCCAGUGUUUGCGGAGCCUCCCUUGAGAUACCACCCUUCGCAUUCUUGAUGUCUAACCGCGCACCGUUAUCCGGUGCCGGGACCCUCUGUGGCGGGUAGUUUGACUGGGGCGGUCGCCUCCCAAAGAGUAACGGAGGCGCGCGAAGGUUGGCUCAGAGCGGUCGGAAAUCGCUCGUUGAGUGCAAUGGCAUAAGCCAGCCUGACUGCGAGACUGACAAGUCGAGCAGAGUCGAAAGACGGCCAUAGUGAUCCGGUGGUCCCGAGUGGAAGGGCCAUCGCUCAACGGAUAAAAGGUACGCCGGGGAUAACAGGCUGAUACUGCCCAAGAGUCCAUAUCGACGGCAGUGUUUGGCACCUCGAUGUCGGCUCAUCUCAUCCUGGGGCUGGAGCAGGUCCCAAGGGUACGGCUGUUCGCCGUUUAAAGAGGUACGUGAGCUGGGUUUAGAACGUCGUGAGACAGUUCGGUCCCUAUCUGCCGUGGGUGUAGGAGACUUGAGAGGAGUUGCCCCUAGUACGAGAGGACCGGGGUGAACGAUCCACUGGUGGACCUGUUGUUGCGCCAGCAGCAGUGCAGGGUAGCUAUGAUCGGACAGGAUAACCGCUGAAGGCAUCUAAGCGGGAAGCCCCCCUCAAAACAAGGUCUCCCUGAGGGCCGUGGAAGACCACCACGUCAAUAGGCCGGAGAUGUAAGCAUGGCAACAUGCUCAGUUGACCGGUACUAAUCGCCCGACAGGCUUGA
This 2796-nucleotide ribosomal RNA is filed under the name Chachezhania antarctica. RNAcentral describes it as "bacterial LSU rRNA". It matches the Rfam family "Bacterial large subunit ribosomal RNA". Lineage: Bacteria; Pseudomonadati; Pseudomonadota; Alphaproteobacteria; Rhodobacterales; Paracoccaceae. The record is from RNAcentral.